AAUAGAUACCCAGGUAGUCCACGCCCUAAACGAUGUCAACUGGUUGUUGGGGAUUCAUUUCUUCAGUAACGAAGCUAACGCGUGAAGUUGACCGCCUGGGGAGUACGGCCGCAAGGUUAAAACUCAAAGGAAUUGACGGGGACCCGCACAAGCGGUGGAUGAUGUGGUUUAAUUCGAUGCAACGCGAAAAACCUUACCCACCUUUGACAUGGCAGGAAUCCUUCAGAGACGAAGGAGUGCUCGCAAGAGAGCCUGCACACAGGUGCUGCAUGGCUGUCGUCAGCUCGUGUCGUGAGAUGUUGGGUUAAGUCCCGCAACGAGCGCAACCCUUGCCAUCAGUUGCUACGAAAGGGCACUCUGAUGGGACUGCCGGUGACAAACCGGGAGGAAGGUGGGGAUGACGUCAAGUCCUCAUGGCCCUUAGUAGGUGGGGGCUACACACGUCAUACAAUGGCCGGUACAAAGGGGCAGCGAAGCCGCGAGGUGAAGCCAAUCCCAUAAAGCCGGUCGUAGUCCGGAUUGCACGU
This 527-nucleotide ribosomal RNA is filed under the name uncultured bacterium. RNAcentral describes it as "bacterial SSU rRNA". It matches the Rfam family "Bacterial small subunit ribosomal RNA", at positions 777 to 1305 of the family's 1533-position model. The record is from RNAcentral.